This 3180-nucleotide ribosomal RNA is filed under the name Synura mammillosa. RNAcentral's name for it is "bacterial LSU rRNA". It matches the Rfam family "Bacterial large subunit ribosomal RNA", at positions 43 to 2364 of the family's 2925-position model. Lineage: Eukaryota; Synurophyceae; Synurales; Mallomonadaceae. The record is from RNAcentral.
GAAGCGAUGAAGGACGUGGCUACCGGCGAAACGUUUCGGGGAGUUGGAAGUAAGCUUUGAUCCGAAAAUAUCCGAAUGAGGAAACUCUUUAACUUCUUCUUGAAUCUAUAAAGAAAGAAAGAGCAAACCUAGGGAAUUGAAACAUCUUAGUACCUAGAGGAAAAGAAAGUAAAAACGAUUCCCUUAGUAGUGGCGAACGAAAAGGGAACAGCCUAAACUUUUCUUUUUAUUAAAAAGAAAAGGGUUGAGGGAAAGAAAAUUCUGUCAAGAGAAAAUAAUUUAAAGUUUAUCUUUAAAGGAAUAGAAAUUAGGUGAAAAAAUUGGAAAAUUUUACCAAAGAAAGUGAUAGUCUUGUAACCGAAAAUUUCUUAAAAAAUCUUAUAUCCCGAGUAGCAUGGGGCACGUGGAAUCCCGUGUGAAUCUGCGAGGACCACCUCGUAAGGCUAAAUAUUCCUGGAUGUCCGAUAGCGAAGAGUACCGCGAGGGAAAGGUGAAAAGAACCCCGGGAGGGGAGUGAAAUAGAACGUGAAAUUGCAAGCCCACAAACAGAAGAAGAACGACUUAGCGUUUUACUUCGUGCCUGUUGAAGAAUGUUCCGGCGACUUAAAGUUAGUGGCAUUGGUUAAGAUAGAGAUGUCGGAGCCAUAGUGAAAGCGAGCUUGAAAAGAGCGUCAAUUGUCACUAGUUUUAGACCCGAACCCGGUUGAUCUAACCAUGGCCAGGAUGAAACUUAGGUAACACUGAAUGGAGGUCCGAACCGACUGAUGUUGAAAAAUCAGCGGAUGAGCUGUGGUUAGGGGUGAAAUGCCAAUCGAAACCGGAGCUAGCUGGUUCUCCCCGAAAUGUAUUUAGGUGCAGCGGUUAAUCUUUUAGCGUAGGGGUAAAGCACUGUUUCGGUGCGGGCUGGUAAUUCGGUACCAAAUCGAGGCAAACUCUGAAUACUACGUGUACAAUUAACCAGUAAGACUAUGGGGGAUAAGCUUCAUAGUCAAGAGGGAAACAGCCCAGAUCACCAGCUAAGGCCCCUAAAUAAUUACUAAGUGAUAAAGGAAGUGGAAGGGCUUUGACAACCAGGAGGUUUGCUUAGAAGCAGCAAUCCUUUAAAAAGUGCGUAAUAGCUUACUGGUCUAGCAAUUCUGCGCCGAAAACUUAUGGGACUAAGUAAUUUGCCGAAGCUGUGAGAUAUUAAGAAUUUAAUAUCGGUAGGGGAGCGUUCUGCGGUAGAUUGAAGUGUUAGCGAAAGCGGGCAUGGACGAAACAGAAGUGAGAAUGUCGGAUUGAGUAGCGAAAACAUUGGUGAGAAUCCAAUGCUCCGAAAACCUAAGGUUUCCUCCGCAAGGCUCGUCCACGGAGGGUGAGUCAGGACCUAAGGUGAGGCUGAGAAGCGUAGCUGAUGGACAAUAGGUUAAUAUUCCUAUACUAAUUUUUACUGGUAUCGAGGGACGAAGAAGGCUAAACUAGCCAGAGAUUGGUUACUGGUUUAAAUUUUCAAGGUGUUGAAGGUUAGUGAAAAUAACUUGAGCUGAGAAAUGAAUACAAGAUUUUAAAAAUCAAAGUAGUUGAUGUCAUACUUCCAAGAAAAGCUCGCUAUGCCUUAAGUAAAAAUUACCUGUACCUUAAACCGACACAGGUAGGUAGGUAGAGAAUACCAAGGAGCGCGGGAGAACCCUCCUUAAGGAACUCGGCAAAAUAACUCUGUAACUUCGGAAGAAAGAGUGCCUUUUAGGCUGCAAUAUCAAGUUCCAAGCAACUGUUUAGCAAAAACACAGGUCUCCGCUAAGUUGUAAAACGACGUAUGGAGGCUGACGCCUGCCCAGUGCUGGAAGGUUAAAGAAGUCGGUUAGCGUAAGCAAAGCUGGUAACUGAAGCCCCAGUGAACGGCGGCCGUAACUAUAAACCAGGACCAAUUGUAGUUAUAAAAUUUAGCUAUAUGCUGGAAUAUCUCGACUUAAAAUUUCAUUACUCAUCAAUUAAGAAAGCAGACAGUUAACUGUCUCUUGUACAAAUUGGCAGUGAAAAUAUGGAAAAUAGAGACAAUCAGCAGGAAAGAGUUUGAAGAUUAGAUCCACAUAUAUGGAAAAAAAAUAUUGAAAAUUUCAAUUUAGAUGAAACACGUCCCAUUCCUGUACGUCCAGUUAUUCCAGCAAAUAAAGGCUUUUUAUGUCUCUGGAUUUGUAGAUGGAGAAGGAAGUUUUUUUGCAACUGCUAGAAAACGCCCGGAUUAUACAACAGGAUGGAAAUUUACAGCAAAUUUUGCUGUAGGUAAUAAAGACAUUAGUACUCUAGAUCUAUGUAAAGAAUGUAUUGGUUUUGGUGAAGUAAGAGAAUCGAAAGAGAAGUUUUAUGUUUUAGAGAUUUCAAAUCGAAGAGCAUUAGAACAACUUGUUGUUCCCUUUUUUGAAGAUUAUCCUUUUCAAACUGUUAAAAAAGAGUAUGAGUUUAAACUUUUUAAAAGACUUUUAGAUCUUUUAGAUAAAAAAAUGAGUACAACUUUAGAUUUAGAAAAUUUUUUAACUAUUCGACGAGAAUUUGAUCUUUAUCGAAAUGCUCGAUCAUCCAAUACAGAUGAAAUUAUUCGAAAAACAUUUAAACCUAUAGGUGAGAAAUAAUUCAAAAAAUCCUCAGAGACUACACGCUAAACAACAAAGAAAUUUUGUUGAUGAUAUAGUCCGAUCUUUAUGGUGACAUAAAGGUAAAGAAAAGUCUACCCUUUCCUUUACGUUUUUGGGAUUUACAAGUCUCAAAGAUUAACACAAAUGAACGGUCCUAAGGUAGCGAAAUUCCUUGUCAGGUAAGUUCUGACCCGCACGAAUGGCGUAAUGAUUUGGAAGCUGUCUCGAGGAGGGACUCGGUGAAAUAGAACUGUCUGUGAAGAUGCGGACUACCUGCGCCUGGACAGUAAGACCCUAUGAAGCUUUACUGUAGCCUGAAAUUGGAUUUCGAUUUUCUUUGCGCAGAAUAGGUGGGAGACGGUGAAAAAAUUCUUUAGGGAAUUUUGGAGUCAACAGUGAGAUACCACUCUGAGAAAAUUAAAAUUCUAACUUCAUACCGUUAGCCGGUUGAAAGACAGUUUCAGGUGGGCAGUUUGACUGGGGCGGUCGCCUCCUAAAAGGGGACGGAGGCGUACAAAGGUUCCCUCAGAUCGGUCAGAAAUCGAUCUUCGAGUGCAAAGGCAAAAGG